This is a long non-coding RNA of Homo sapiens (human), 704 nucleotides long. NCBI's taxonomy places the organism in Eukaryota, Metazoa, Chordata, Mammalia, Primates, Hominidae. The record is from Ensembl.
GGGACUGGCGCUGGAGCCCAGCGUGGGAUGACCGUGCCCCGAAAACAUGCCAGUGAAUGGAAAGAAGCCAAGGUCCCCUCCCUCCCUGCUUAUACCCUCAACUUUGCCAAUGAGGACCCUAAAUACCAGCUGCACUACAGGGGAUGUAACUACAUACACCGUCACCAAAGUUGCAGCCUGGCCAAGAAAUGCCAGGGGACGUCGCGGCGAUUGCAGACUCCGCGGUGACUGUGUAGAUACGUCCAGAAUUCGCCCUUGUAGCGCGGGGAGAGGCGAGAGUGAAGGCCUAGAAAAGCUGGAGUGCAAUGGCGCCAUCUCAGCUCACUGCAACCUCUGCCUCCCGGGUUCAAGCGAUUCUCCUGCCUCAGCCUCCGGAGUAGCUGGGAUUACAGAAAGAAGAAUAAAUGGGACAUUACACAAGGUAUGUUUCUCUGAUUUUCCACUUUCUAUCCUUAGGACAGAAGAAAGAUCUGUAUUCAAGAUGGAAACAAGUUCCUUCCACAUUUGUUAUCAUGAAGGAUGUCUUGUGCUGUGAUUGAGAGGCUGCUCAUUAAGAAUCAUGAAAAGCUCGUUUGCAUGGUUUAGCAAUGAUGCAGAAUUACUUAUAAAAAUAUGAAGAAAAAUAGAUAGCAUGUUUAUAAACCCAAAGCUGGACCACACCCAGACAUUGUUUUUAAUAGUGCAUCAUGAUUAAGUUCAUCUUA